GAUGAACGCUGGCGGCGUGCCUAAUACAUGCAAGUCGAGCGAAAAGACGAGGAGCUUGCUCCUCUGUCGUUAGCGGCGGACGGGUGAGUAACACGUGGAUCACCUAACUAUCAGACUGGGAUAAAUUCGGGAAAACGGCGCUAAUACCGGAUAAUAUAUUGAACCGUAUGGUUCAAUAGUGAAAUACGGUUUUGCUGUCACUUAUAGAUGGAUACGCGCGGCAUUAGCUAGUGGGUAAGGUAACGGAUUACCAGGGGAACGAUGCGUAGCCGACCUGAGAGGGUGAUCGGCCGCACUGGAACUGAGACACGGACCAGGCUCCUACGGGAGGGAGCAGUAGGCAAUCGGCCGCAAUGGGCGAAAACCUGACGGAACAGCGCCACGCGAGUUGUGAAGGUCUUCGGAUCGUAAAACUCUGUUUUGAGGGAAGAACAAAUUUGUAAGGAACUAUGCUCGGCGUGACGGUACCGAAUCAGAAAGCCACGGCUAACUACGUG
Molecule: ribosomal RNA, 497 nt
Filed under: uncultured bacterium
Lineage: Bacteria
Description: partial 16S ribosomal RNA
Rfam family: Bacterial small subunit ribosomal RNA
Source: RNAcentral